Molecule: ribosomal RNA, 504 nt
Filed under: Acrobeloides maximus
Lineage: Eukaryota; Metazoa; Nematoda; Chromadorea; Rhabditida; Cephalobidae
Description: SSU rRNA
Rfam family: Eukaryotic small subunit ribosomal RNA
Source: RNAcentral
CGCGAAUGGCUCAUUACAACAGCUAUAAUUUACUUGAUCUUGACACAAUCCUACUUGGAUAACUGUGGUAAUUCUAGAGCUAAUACAUGCAUUAAAGCUCUGACCUUAGGGGAAGAGUGCAUUUAUUAGAACAAAACCAAGCGGCUUCGGCUGUUUUCGGUUGACUCAUAGUAACUGAGCUGAUCGCAUGGUCUUGCACCGGCGACGUGUCUUUCAAGUAUCUGCCGUAUCAACUUUCGAUGGUAGUGUAUCUGACUACCAUGGUGAUCACGCGUAACGGAGAAUAAGGGUUCGACUCCGGAGAGUUCGCCUGAGAAAUCGCGAACACAUCUAAGGAAGGCAGCAGGCGCGAAAAUUACCCACUCUCAGCACGAGGAGGUAGUGACGAAAAAUAACGAGGCGGUUCUCUAUGAGGCCCGCUAUCGGAAUGGGUACAAUUUAAACCCUUUAACGAGGACCUAUGAGAGGGCAAGUCUGGUGCCAGCAGCCGCGGUAAUUCCAGCU